CGGGGGAGGCCGGAUCCUGGGCUGUGUCCCUGCGCCCUGUGCUCCGGGGCCUGCGCUGGUGGAUUCGCGCUCCCGGGCCGCCGCCAUACAACCCCCU
Molecule: non-coding RNA, 97 nt
Organism: Canis lupus familiaris (dog)
Lineage: Eukaryota; Metazoa; Chordata; Mammalia; Carnivora; Canidae
Source: Rfam